This 606-nucleotide long non-coding RNA is filed under the name Trifolium pratense (red clover). Its description in RNAcentral is "long non-coding RNA (TPRA_LNC005574)". Lineage: Eukaryota; Viridiplantae; Streptophyta; Magnoliopsida; Fabales; Fabaceae. The record is from RNAcentral.
AAGACCAAUCUCAGCAUCUCCACAUUAUCAGACAUUUCCACAUUAUCAGAUAUUAUAUUUUCGGCGAACCCCUUCUAUAAGGAUACCCCUUCUAGCUUUAAAACCCCUUCUAGUUUCUCAACCCCUUCUAACCCCUUCUUAAAAACCAACACUAAAUUCACAAAAUAAAACACCAGGAAAAUUCACUAAAUAAAUUCUCCCAAAUCAGAGAUAAACAACUUAAUAGUUCAUAGCAAACACCCAAAUUUAAAAGCCAACACUAAAUUCACAAACUAAAACACCCGCAAAAUUCACUAAAUAAAAACCCUAACAAGAAGAAAAAGAAGAAUUCAAAUCGAAACAGGCAAAAUAAUAAAGAAGAAAUAACCUUGUGUUACGGAAAUGCGUGAAGAAGAAGACGAAGAACACUGUUUGUGGUUGUACUUGAAUGGAAAUGACGAAGACGAAGAAGAGAAGGGGUUAGACUAGAAGGGGUACAUGGGAUAGAAGGGGGAUUUAAAGAGAAAAAUACUACUUCUACUACUUAUUAUUAUAUUAUUACUAUUUUUUUUUUUUGACAAACAUAUUAUUACUAUAUUAAAGUUUAUUACUCGUAGUUUCUCUAAA